Molecule: ribosomal RNA, 500 nt
Filed under: uncultured bacterium
Lineage: Bacteria
Description: partial 16S ribosomal RNA
Rfam family: Bacterial small subunit ribosomal RNA
Source: RNAcentral
AUUGAACGCUGGCGGAAUGCUUUACACAUGCAAGUCGAACGGCAGCACGGACUUCGGUCUGGUGGCGAGUGGCGAACGGGUGAGUAAUGUAUCGGAACGUGCCCAGUCGUGGGGGAUAACGUAGUGAAAAUUACGCUAAUACCGCAUACGAUCUAUGGAUGAAAGCGGGGGAUCGCAAGACCUCGCGCGAUUGGAGCGGCCGAUAUCAGAUUAGGUAGUUGGUGGGGUAAGGGACCACCAAGCCAACGAACUGUAGCUGGUCUGAGAGGACGGCCAGCCACACUGGAACUGAGACUCGGUCCAGACUCCUACGGUAAGCAGCAGUAGCGAAUUGUGGACUAGGGGCGAAGGCGUGAUCCAGCCAUACCGAGUGCAGGAUGAAGGCCCUCGGGUUGUACACUGCUUUUGUACAGAACGAAAAGGUUUCUACUAAUACUAGGAGCUCAUGACGGUACUGUAAGAAUAAGCACCGGCUAACUACGUGCCAGCCGCCGCCGUAA